GAUGAACGCUGGCGGUCUGCUUAACACAUGCAAGUCGAACGAACUCUUCGGAGUGAGUGGCGGACGGGUGAGUAACGCGUGAGAAUCUGCCUUCAGGUCUGGGACAACAGAAGGAAACUUCUGCUAAAUCCGGGAUGAGCCUUUUAGGCAAAAAGAUAAAAUUGCCUGGAGAUGAGCUCGCGUCUGAUUAGCUAGUUGGUAGUGGU
This 206-nucleotide ribosomal RNA is filed under the name uncultured cyanobacterium. RNAcentral describes it as "partial 16S ribosomal RNA". It matches the Rfam family "Bacterial small subunit ribosomal RNA", at positions 28 to 259 of the family's 1533-position model. The record is from RNAcentral. Lineage: Bacteria; Bacillati; Cyanobacteriota.